UACGAGUGGUCCAAGCGUUAAUCGGAAUCACUGGGCUUAAAGCGUGCGCAGGCGGACCGGCAGGCGUCCUGUGAAAUCCCACGGCUCAACCGUGGAACUGCAGGGCGAACCUCCGGUCUCGAGGCAGGUAGGGGUGAGUGGAACUAUGGGUGGAGCGGUGAAAUGCGUAGAUAUCCAUGGGAACGCCGAUGGCGAAGGCAACUCACUGGGCCUGUCCUGACGCUCAGGCACGAAAGCGUGGGGAGCAAACGGG
This 253-nucleotide ribosomal RNA is filed under the name uncultured bacterium. Its description in RNAcentral is "partial 16S ribosomal RNA". It matches the Rfam family "Bacterial small subunit ribosomal RNA", at positions 524 to 776 of the family's 1533-position model. The record is from RNAcentral.